AAGCUGAUCCUGCAGGAGCAGGUGAAGGAACUCUUCAACGAGAAAUACAGUGAGGCCCUGGGCCUGAACCGGCCGGUGCUGGUCCCUUAUAAACCUAUCCGGGACAGCCCAGACACCAUGGAGGUCACAGGUCUGCCUGAUGACAUCCCCUUCCGGAACCCCAACAUGUACGACAUCCACUGGCUGGAGAAGAUCUUGAAGGCCCGAGAGCAUGUCCACAUGGUCAUCGUUAACCAGCUGCAACCCUUUGCAGAAAUCUGCAAUGAUGCCAGGAACCAGGUAAGUCGGAGGUGAGGAAGCCACCCUCCUGCCCCAUGGGGACUAGAGACUGUUCCUUUUGAAAAAAGGUAGAGCCGAGUGCAGUGGCUCACACCUAUAAUCCCAGCACUUUGGGAGGCAAGCAGAUCAUUUGAGGUCAGGAGUUCAAGACCCGCCUGAGCAACACGGUGAAACCCCAUCUCUACUAAAAAUACAACAAUUAGCUGGGCGUGGUUGUGGGCACCUGUAAUCCCAGCUACUUGGGGGACUGAGGCAGGAGAAUUGCAUGAACCCGGGAGGCGGAGGUUGCAGUGAACUGAGAUCACGCCCCUGCACUCCAGCCUGGGCGACAGAGUAAGACUCCAUCUCAAAAAAAAAAUGAAAAAGACAGAGACACCAGGAGUUGCAGGCUGCAGUGAGCUAUGAUUGUACCACUGCACUCCAGCCUGAGCAACAGAGCAAGACCCUGUCUCUAAAAAAAAAAUUUUAAUAAAUUUUUUAAAGGCAGAGAUAGAUGUGGUCCAGGUGGGCAUGCAAUAGACGGCUUACCACCUUGA
Long non-coding RNA from Symphalangus syndactylus (siamang), 815 nucleotides. RefSeq lists it as uncharacterized. The record is from RefSeq and is a predicted model, not a curated record. NCBI's taxonomy places the organism in Eukaryota, Metazoa, Chordata, Mammalia, Primates, Hylobatidae.